Molecule: ribosomal RNA, 471 nt
Filed under: Lactiplantibacillus plantarum
Lineage: Bacteria; Bacillati; Bacillota; Bacilli; Lactobacillales; Lactobacillaceae
Description: bacterial SSU rRNA
Rfam family: Bacterial small subunit ribosomal RNA
Source: RNAcentral
UAUUGAUUGGUGCUUGCAUCAUGAUUUACAUUUGCAGUGAGUGGCGAACUGGUGAGUAACACGUGGGAAACCUGCCCAGAAGCGGGGGAUAACACCUGGAAACAGAUGCUAAUACCGCAUAACAACUUGGACCGCAUGGUCCGAGCUUGAAAGAUGGCUUCGGCUAUCACUUUUGGAUGGUCCCGCGGCGUAUUAGCUAGAUGGUGGGGUAACGGCUCACCAUGGCAAUGAUACGUAGCCGACCUGAGAGGGUAAUCGGCCACAUUGGGACUGAGACACGGCCCAAACUCCUACGGGAGGCAGCAGUAGGGAAUCUUCCACAAUGGACGAAAGUCUGAUGGAGCAACGCCGCGUGAGUGAAGAAGGGUUUCGGCUCGUAAAACUCUGUUGUUAAAGAAGAACAUAUCUGAGAGUAACUGUUCAGGUAUUGACGGUAUUUAACCAGAAAGCCACGGGCUAACUACGUGCCCC